GCAAGUCGAGCGGUAACAAUUCUAGCUUGCUAGAAGAUGACGAGCGGCGGACGGGUGAGUAAUGCUUGGGAAUCUGCCUUAGGGUGGGGGACAACAGUUGGAAACGACUGCGAAUACCGCAUGAUGUCUACGGACCAAAGGGGGCUUCGGCUCUCGCCCUUAGAUAGCUCAAGUGGGAUUAGCUUGUUGGUGAGGUAAUGGCUCACCAAGGCGACGAUCCCUAGCUGGUUUGAGAGGAUGAUC
This 243-nucleotide ribosomal RNA is filed under the name uncultured bacterium. RNAcentral's name for it is "partial 16S ribosomal RNA". It matches the Rfam family "Bacterial small subunit ribosomal RNA", at positions 57 to 305 of the family's 1533-position model. The record is from RNAcentral.